GCAUAUCACCUUUCCCCUAAAUUUGCUCCUUCUCCCCCAAUCUCAACGACACAAUCUUUACUUUUUCUACUACCAAAUCACCUCUAUCUCUCCUCAUUAUUUUUCCACCACCAACGUUCAAAACAAAUAGAUUUCUUCAACUUUGAAAUCCCGCCCAAAAUCACAAUUUCUAGUUUUUUCCAUCUAUAUAUACUUUAUUAAAUGCUUCAGCAGAAGGGGAGGCAAAAAAAAAAGAAAAAAAAAAGGCGAGAACAACGGAAAACCCUCUCAUUUGAGCUAUUUUCUACUUUUGCUCAAAGAAAAUUUUAACAUUUUGAUAUCUUUCAAUCUCUGUCCGUUUCUAUUUUGCUUAAGGAGAGUAGAUCUGAGACUUCAAAGCACUAGUUCACUUCACACACAAGAGCCGAAGAGUUUCACUUUGAAACUCAACGACGCCGCUUAUGGAGUCCACAUAUCUGCACGGAUCUUUCUUGCCUCUCAAAUAUCAAUUUACAGAGGGGAUUUUGUCCUCCCAUUAAAGCCGAACGCGCUACUUAAUCCACUUUUCUCUGUUUGCUUUGCUUACUAAUGAUGGUGAAUGAUUUUAUUUUCAGUUAUGUACUUGCUGUUGAAGGUAGGAUUAUUAUACAAUUAAUUGAUGACUAAACCUUAAGUAAUUAUUUAAAGUCCUUGCCUUAUAA
Long non-coding RNA from Lycium barbarum (goji berry), 680 nucleotides. RefSeq lists it as uncharacterized. The record is from RefSeq and is a predicted model, not a curated record. NCBI's taxonomy places the organism in Eukaryota, Viridiplantae, Streptophyta, Magnoliopsida, Solanales, Solanaceae. The transcript has 2 exons.